This 30-nucleotide ribosomal RNA is filed under the name Penicillium daleae. RNAcentral describes it as "partial 18S ribosomal RNA". Lineage: Eukaryota; Fungi; Ascomycota; Eurotiomycetes; Eurotiales; Aspergillaceae. The record is from RNAcentral.
UUCGUUGGUGAACCAGCGGAAGGAUCAUUA